AACGAACGCUGGCGGCAUGCCUAACACAUGCAAGUCGAACGAGACCUUCGGGUCUAGUGGCGCACGGGUGCGUAACGCGUGGGAACCUGCCCUUAGGUUCGGAAUAACUCCCCGAAAGGGGUGCUAAUACCGGAUAAUGUCUUCGGACCAAAGAUUUAUCGCCUUUGGAUGGGCCCGCGUUGGACUAGCUAGUUGGUGGGGUAAAAGCCUACCAAGGCGACGAUCCAUAGCUGGUCUGAGAGGAUGAUCAGCCACACUGGGACUGAGACACGGCCCAGACUCCUACGGGAGGCAGCAGUGGGGAAUAUUGGACAAUGGGCGAAAGCCUGAUCCAGCAAUGCCGCGUGAGUGAUGAAGGCCUUAGGGUUGUAAAGCUCUUUUACCCGGGAUGAUAAUGACAGUACCGGGAGAAUAAGCUCCGGCUAACUCCGUG
RNAcentral lists this ribosomal RNA (433 nucleotides) under uncultured bacterium. RNAcentral describes it as "partial 16S ribosomal RNA". It matches the Rfam family "Bacterial small subunit ribosomal RNA", at positions 29 to 507 of the family's 1533-position model. The record is from RNAcentral.